This 308-nucleotide ribosomal RNA is filed under the name uncultured bacterium. Its description in RNAcentral is "partial 16S ribosomal RNA". It matches the Rfam family "Bacterial small subunit ribosomal RNA", at positions 505 to 807 of the family's 1533-position model. The record is from RNAcentral.
GAGACAGCAGUAGCCGCGGUAAUACGGAGGAUCCAAGCGUUAUCCGGAAUCAUUGGGUUUAAAGGGUCCGUAGGCGGUCUUGUAAGUCAGUGGUGAAAGCCCAUCGCUCAACGGUGGAACGGCCAUUGAUACUGCAGGACUUGAAUUAUUGGGAAGUAACUAGAAUAUGUAGUGUAGCGGUGAAAUGCUUAGAGAUUACAUGGAAUACCAAUUGCGAAGGCAGGUUACUACCAAUUGAUUGACGCUGAUGGACGAAAGCGUGGGUAGCGAACAGGAUUAGAUACCCCAGUAGUCCCUGUCUCUUAUAC